UACGGAGGAUGCGAGCGUUAUCCGGAUUUAUUGGGUUUAAAGGGUGCGCAGGCGGCGUGUCAAGUCAGCGGUAAAAUGUCGGGGCUUAACCCCGGCCGGCCGUUGAAACUGGCGUGCUCGAGUUGGAGAGAAGUAUGCGGAAUUCGUGGUGUAGCGGUGAAAUGCAUAGAUAUCACGAAGAACCCCGAUUGCGAAGGCAGCAUACCGGCUCCACACUGACGCUGAGGCACGAAAGCGUGGGUAUCGAACAGG
RNAcentral lists this ribosomal RNA (252 nucleotides) under uncultured bacterium. RNAcentral's name for it is "partial 16S ribosomal RNA". It matches the Rfam family "Bacterial small subunit ribosomal RNA", at positions 524 to 776 of the family's 1533-position model. The record is from RNAcentral.